RNAcentral lists this ribosomal RNA (1404 nucleotides) under uncultured bacterium. Its description in RNAcentral is "partial 16S ribosomal RNA". It matches the Rfam family "Bacterial small subunit ribosomal RNA". The record is from RNAcentral.
AGAGUUUGAUCCUGGCUCAGGAUGAACGCUAGCGGCAGGCUCAACACAUGCAAGUCGAGGGGCAGCGGGGAGGAAGCUUGCUUUCUCCGCCGGCGACCGGCGCACGGGUGAGUAACACGUAUGCAACCUGCCCCUGUCAGGGGGACAACCCGCCGAAAGGCGGGCUAAACCCGCGUACAUGCCACCGGGGCAUCCCGGAGGCAGGAAAGGCUUCGGCCGGACAGGGAUGGGCAUGCGGCGCAUUAGGCAGUAGGCGGGGUAACGGCCCACCUAACCGACGAUGCGUAGGGGUUCUGAGAGGAAGGUCCCCCACACUGGUACUGAGACACGGACCAGACUCCUACGGGAGGCAGCAGUGAGGAAUAUUGGUCAAUGGUCGGGAGACUGAACCAGCCAAGCCGCGUGAGGGAGGAAGGUACAGAGUAUCGUAAACCUCUUUUGUCAGGGAACAAAGGCGGGGACGUGUCCCCGGAUGAGUGUACCUGAAGAAAAAGCAUCGGCUAACUCCGUGCCAGCAGCCGCGGUAAUACGGAGGAUGCGAGCGUUAUCCGGAUUUAUUGGGUUUAAAGGGUGCGCAGGCGGUCUGUUAAGUCAGCGGUCAAAGCCCGGGGCUCAACCCCGGCCCGCCGUUGAAACUGGCAGUCUCGAGUUGGAGAGAAGUAUGCGGAAUGCGCGGUGUAGCGGUGAAAUGCAUAGAUAUCGCGCAGAACUCCGAUUGCGAAGGCAGCAUGCCGGCUCCACACUGACGCUGAGGCACGAAAGCGUGGGUAUCGAACAGGAUUAGAUACCCUGGUAGUCCACGCAGUAAACGAUGAAUGCUGGCUGUCCGGGGGGAUUGACCCCUGGGUGGCGAAGCGAAAGCGAUAAGCAUUCCACCUGGGGAGUACGCCGGCAACGGUGAAACUCAAAGGAAUUGACGGGGGCCCGCACAAGCGGAGGAACAUGUGGUUUAAUUCGAUGAUACGCGAGGAACCUUACCCGGGCUCAAACGGGGAGUGACUCAGGCAGAGACGCCUGUUUCCCACGGGACACUCCCCGAGGUGCUGCAUGGUUGUCGUCAGCUCGUGCCGUGAGGUGUCGGCUUAAGUGCCAUAACGAGCGCAACCCCCGCGUGCAGUUGCUAACAGAUAACGCUGAGGACUCUGCACGGACUGCCGGCGCAAGCCGCGAGGAAGGCGGGGAUGACGUCAAAUCAGCACGGCCCUUACGUCCGGGGCGACACACGUGUUACAAUGGGUGGUACAGCGGGAAGCCAGGCGGCGACGCCGAGCGGAACCCGAAAUCCACUCUCAGUUCGGAUCGGAGUCUGCAACCCGACUCCGUGAAGCUGGAUUCGCUAGUAAUCACGCAUCAGCCAUGGCGCGGUGAAUACGUUCCCGGGCCUUGCACACACCGCCCGUCAAG